Molecule: transfer RNA, 75 nt
Filed under: Candidatus Omnitrophota bacterium
Lineage: Bacteria; Pseudomonadati; Candidatus Omnitrophota
Description: tRNA-Pro
Rfam family: tRNA
About the family: Transfer RNA (tRNA) molecules are approximately 80 nucleotides in length. Their secondary structure includes four short double-helical elements and three loops (D, anti-codon, and T loops). Further hydrogen bonds mediate the characteristic L-shaped molecular structure. tRNAs have two regions of fundamental functional importance: the anti-codon, which is responsible for specific mRNA codon recognition, and the 3' end, to which the tRNAs corresponding amino acid is attached (by aminoacyl-tRNA synthetases). tRNAs cope with the degeneracy of the genetic code in two manners: having more than one tRNA (with a specific anti-codon) for a particular amino acid; and 'wobble' base-pairing, i.e. permitting non-standard base-pairing at the 3rd anti-codon position.
Source: RNAcentral
CGGGGGAUAGCGCAGUUUGGCUAGCGCGCGACGUUCGGGACGUCGAGGCCGUGGGUUCAAGUCCCACUCCCCCGA